GAUGAACGCUAGCGACAGGCUUAACACAUGCAAGUCGCGGGGCAGCAUGGGGGUUGCUUGCAACCCCUGAUGGCGACCGGCGCACGGGUGAGUAACGCGUAUCCAACCUGCCCUUCACCACGGGAUAACCCGGCGAAAGUCGGACGAAAACCGUAUGUUGUCCAUUGACGGCAUCCGAUAUGGACGAAGGGCUGGGCGGGGAACGGAUGGGGCUGCGUCCGAUUAGCUUGACGGCGGGGGAACGGCCCACCGGGGUUACGAUCGGUAGGGGGUCUGAGAGGAAGGUCCCCCACACUGGAACUGAGACACUGUCCAGACUCCUACGGGCGGCAGCAGUGGGGAAUAUUGGUCAAUGAGCGUAAGCCUGAACCAGCCAAGUAGCGUGCAGGAUGCCGGCCCUGUGGGUUGUAACCUGCUUUUAUGCGGGGAUAAAGUGGCCCACGUGUGGGCUUUUGCAGGUACCGCAUGAAUAAGGACCGGCUAAUUCCGUG
Molecule: ribosomal RNA, 491 nt
Filed under: uncultured bacterium
Lineage: Bacteria
Description: partial 16S ribosomal RNA
Rfam family: Bacterial small subunit ribosomal RNA
Source: RNAcentral